AUGCAGCUAGCUGUUCAAUGCAUGCGCAAGCACACACACAACCAGCCGAGCAGUUUCUUGGUUCAGUUCAGAUACCACAACAGUUGGGACCCCAGCGACAACCACGUCGGCAUAGACGUCAAUUCCAUCAACUCCACAACCUACACAAACGUGACCAACCUACUCGCGGGUGACGACGCCAUCAUGAUCGCCCAGAUCAGCUACGACCAUUGUACAGAUGUUCUAGCCGCCCGUCUCCAGAUCCAGGGCGACGAGACGCUCAACAACAUGUUUACGUACGUGAACAUGAAAGGGGAACUGCCCCAACAAGUUGCAAUAGGUUUCUCCGCCGCAACUGGUACCUGCGCCGAGCUGCAUCAGGUGUCAUCUUGGUCAUUUAGCUCCACUCUAGAUGCAUGA
This 399-nucleotide ribosomal RNA is filed under the name Triticum aestivum (bread wheat). RNAcentral's name for it is "partial small subunit ribosomal RNA". The record is from RNAcentral. Lineage: Eukaryota; Viridiplantae; Streptophyta; Magnoliopsida; Poales; Poaceae.